This 460-nucleotide ribosomal RNA is filed under the name uncultured bacterium. Its description in RNAcentral is "partial 16S ribosomal RNA". It matches the Rfam family "Bacterial small subunit ribosomal RNA", at positions 338 to 795 of the family's 1533-position model. The record is from RNAcentral.
CCUACGGGUGGCAGCAGUGAGGAAUAUUGGUCAAUGGGCGUAAGCCUGAACCAGCCAAGUCGCGUGAGGGAUGACGGUUCUAUGGAUCGUAAACCUCUUUUAUAAGGGAAUAAAGUGUGGGACGUGUCCUAUUUUGUAUGUACCUUAUGAAUAAGGAUCGGCUAACUCCGUGCCAGCAGCCGCGGUAAUACGGAGGAUCCGAGCGUUAUCCGGAUUUAUUGGGUUUAAAGGGUGCGUAGGCGGCUUUUUAAGUCAGGGGUGAAAGUCUGUGGCUCAACCAUAGAAUUGGCGUUGAAACUGGGGGGCUUGAGGAUGUUUGAGGCAGGCGGAAUGCGUGGUGUAGCGGUGAAAUGCUUAGAUAUCACGCAGAACCCCGAUUGCGAAGGCAGUCUGCCAGGCCAUGACUGACGCUGAUGCACGAAAGCGUGGGGAUCAAACAGGAUUAGAUACCCUUGUAGUC